This 624-nucleotide ribosomal RNA is filed under the name uncultured bacterium. RNAcentral describes it as "bacterial SSU rRNA". It matches the Rfam family "Bacterial small subunit ribosomal RNA", at positions 590 to 1213 of the family's 1533-position model. The record is from RNAcentral.
GUUCGUGAAAUCUCACGGCUUAACUGUGAGCGUGCGGGCGAUACGGGCAGACUUGAGUACUGCAGGGGAGACUGGAAUUCCUGGUGUAGCGGUGGAAUGCGCAGAUAUCAGGAGGAACACCGGUGGCGAAGGCGGGUCUCUGGGCAGUAACUGACGCUGAGGAGCGAAAGCGUGGGGAGCGAACAGGAUUAGAUACCCUGGUAGUCCACGCCGUAAACGGCGGGUACUAGGUGUGGGUUUCCUUCCUUGGGAUCCGUGCCGUAGCUAACGCAUUAAGUACCCCGCCUGGGGAGUACGGCCGCAAGGCUCAAACUCAAAGAAAUUGACGGGGGCCCACACAAGCGGCGGAGCAUGUGGAUUAAUUCGAUGCAACGCGAAGAACCUUACCUGGGUUUGACAUGCACAGGACGCCGGCAGAGAUGUCGGUUCCCUUGUGGCCUGUGUGCAGGUGGUGCAUGGCUGUCGUCAGCUCGUGUCGUGAGAUGUUGGGUUAAGUCCCGCAACGAGCGCAACCCUUGUCUCAUGUUGCCAGCGGGUAAUGCCGGGGACUCGUGAGAGACUGCCGGGGUCAACUCGGAGGAAGGUGGGGAUGACGUCAAGUCAUCAUGCCCCUUAUGUCCAGGG